This 892-nucleotide ribosomal RNA is filed under the name Strelitziana malaysiana. Its description in RNAcentral is "eukaryotic LSU rRNA". It matches the Rfam family "Eukaryotic large subunit ribosomal RNA", at positions 47 to 958 of the family's 3401-position model. The record is from RNAcentral. Lineage: Eukaryota; Fungi; Ascomycota; Eurotiomycetes; Chaetothyriales; Trichomeriaceae.
UAAGCGGAGGAAAAGAAACCAACAGGGAUUGCCUCAGUAACGGCGAGUGAAGCGGCAACAGCUCAAAUUUGAAAUCUGGCCCUCGGGUCCGAGUUGUAAUUUGUAGAGGAUGUUUCGGGCACCGUCGCGGUGUAAAUUUCUUGGAACAGAAUGUCAUAGAGGGUGAGAAUCCCGUUUGAAACCGCGAUAGGACCUAUGUGAAACUCCUUCGACGAGUCGAGUUGUUUGGGAAUGCAGCUCAAAAUGGGUGGUAAAUUUCAUCUAAAGCUAAAUAUUGGCCAGAGACCGAUAGCGCACAAGUAGAGUGAUCGAAAGAUGAAAAGCACUUUGAAAAGAGAGUUAAACAGUAUGUGAAAUUGUUGAAAGGGAAGCGCAGGCAAUCAGACUCGAGCGCGGGGUUCCCCCUGGCUUCUGCCAGGGUUACUUCCCCGUGACCGGGCCAACAUCAGUUUGAGGGGCCGGUUAAAGGCCUUGGGAAUGUACUCACUCCUUCGGGGGUGAACUUAUAGCCCAGGGUGUCAUGCGGCCUCCCCGGACUGAGGAACGCGCUUCGGCGAGGAUGUUGGCGUAAUGGUUGUCUGCGACCCGUCUUGAAACACGGACCAAGGAGUCUAACAUCUAUGCGAGUGUUAGGGUGUCAAACCCUGGCGCGGAAUGAAAGUGAACGGAGGUAGGAAGGCUUAAGCCUGCACUAUCGACCGAUCCUGAUGUCUUCGGAUGGAUUUGAGUAAGAGCAUAGCUGUUGGGACCCGAAAGAUGGUGAACUAUGCGUGAAUAGGGUGAAGCCAGAGGAAACUCUGGUGGAGGCUCGCAGCGGUUCUGACGUGCAAAUCGAUCGUCAAAUUUGCGUAUAGGGGCGAAAGACUAAUCGAACCAUCUGGUAGCUGGUUCC